Molecule: long non-coding RNA, 860 nt
Organism: Pan troglodytes (chimpanzee)
Lineage: Eukaryota; Metazoa; Chordata; Mammalia; Primates; Hominidae
Exons: 5
Source: RefSeq, a predicted model, not a curated record
GACCAGCCUGGGAGGUAUAAUGAGGCCUUGUCUCUACAAAGAUAACAAUAAAAACAUUAGCAUGACAUGAUGGUAUGCACCUGUAGUUCCAGCUAUUCAGGAAGUUGAGGUGGGAAGAUUGCUUGAGGUCAGGAGUUUGAGACCACAGUGAGCCUUAAUCAGGCCCCUGCAUUCUAGCCCUGGGUUGACAGAGUGAGACCCAGUUUCAUAAAAAGAGAUUGAUAAGAAACUCUUGAUGCAACUCAUUAUAAUUUUAAAUGGAAACUAAUUCUUGAUAUUACCUUAGCAGUGUGUCCCCGAGAAAGUGUCAGAGCCUUUACGUGGACUUUCUCAUGAAAAAGGAAACAGAAUAGUCAAUGGAAAAGGAAAAGGCAAUGAAAAGAAGAAGCCAAGAAGAACCCUCAAAACCUUAAGUAAUUAUUUUUAUAGCCAGGCCUGAGAAUUCAGCUCGACAGUAACACUGCAUGAAUGUUUGGUUGGCCCUGUCAUACUUACAUAUAAUUGAUGACAUAUCCCCUUUGCUCUGUAGGGCCUCCUGCAAAACAUCCUUCCUUGAAGCCUAGCACUGAAGUGGAAGAUCCUGCUGUGAAAGGAGCAGUACAAAGAAAGAAUGUACAGACAUUGAGAGCAGAACAAACCUUACCAGUGGCUUUAGAGGAAGAGCAAGAAAGGUGUGAAAGAAGUGAAAAGAAGCAAUCACAGGUCAAAGAAGGAAAUAAUACAAACAAAAGUGAAAAAAUACAUCUAUCAGAAAAUGUAUGUCAUAGUACAUCUUCUGCUGCUGCUGACAGAUUAACCAAACAAAGAAAGGUUGGGAAAAAGUAUCCUCAGCAAUUUCCCAAGAAACUGAAGGAAGAGCA